This 1341-nucleotide ribosomal RNA is filed under the name metagenome. Its description in RNAcentral is "bacterial LSU rRNA". It matches the Rfam family "Bacterial large subunit ribosomal RNA", at positions 1560 to 2925 of the family's 2925-position model. The record is from RNAcentral.
AGCGUUAUGUGGAUCGAACAUUAGUAGAGAAGCGUGUGAGCCAGCUGCCAAGAAAAGCCGCUAUUGCUUCAUAAGUACCCGUACCGUAAACCGACACAGGUGGAUGAGGAGAGAAUCCUAAGGCCGGCGGGAGAAGUGUUGUUAAGGAACUCGGCAAAAUGACUCCGUAACUUCGGGAGAAGGAGUGCCACAGAGAUGUGGCCGCAGAGAAAUGGCCCAAGCAACUGUUUAGCAAAAACACAGGUCUAUGCAAAACCGAAAGGUGAGGUAUAUGGGCUGACGCCUGCCCGGUGCUGGAAGGUUAAGAGGAGAGGUUAGAGCAAUCGAAGCUUUGAAUUUAAGCCCCAGUAAACGGCGGCCGUAACAAUAACGGUCCUAAGGUAGCGAAAUUCCUUGUCGGGUAAGUUCCGACCCGCACGAAAGGCGUAGUGAUUUGGGCACUGUCUCAACAACACACCCGGUGAAAUUGAAAUACCAGUGAAGAUGCUGGUUACCUGCGCCAGGACGGAAAGACCCCAUGGAGCUUUACUCCAGUUUGAUACUGGGAUUCGGCACUGUCUGUACAGGAUAGGUGGGAGGCUAGGAAAUGGUGACGCCAGUUGCCAUGGAGCCAACCUUGGGAUACCACCCUUACAGUACUGGGUUUCUAACCUGCAGCCGUAACCCGGCUGGGGGACAAUGUCUGACGGGGAGUUUGACUGGGGCGGUCGCCUCCGAAAGAGUAUCGGAGGCGCUCAAAGGUUCCCUCAGAACGGUUGGAAACCGUUCGAAGAGUGCAAAGGCAGAAGGGAGCUUGACUGCGACACCGACGGGUGGAGCAGAUACGAAAGUAGGACUUAGUGAUCCGGUGGUAUAAAGUGGGAUUGCCAUCGCUCAACGGAUAAAAGCUACCCUGGGAUAACAGGCUUAUCACUCCCAAGAGUUCACAUCGACGGAGUGGUUUGGCACCUCGAUGUCGGCUCAUCGCAUCCUGGAGCUGUAGCAGGUUCCAAGGGUUGGGCUGUUCGCCCAUUAAAGCGGUACGCGAGCUGGGUUCAGAACGUCGUGAGACAGUUCGGUCCCUAUCCGGCGUGGGCGUAGGAUAUUUGAGAGGAGCUGUCCUUAGUACGAGAGGACCGGGAUGGACAAACCUCUGGUGUAUCUGUUGUUUUACCAAAGGCAUGGCAGAGUAGCCAAGUUUGGCAGGGAUAAACGCUGAAGGCAUCUAAGCGUGAAGCCCCCUCAAGAUAAGAUAUCCCAUCUUCGGAGUAAGACCCCUUGAAGACUACAAGGUUGAUAGGCUUUGUGUGUAAGUGCGGUAACGCACUCAGCUGAGAAGUACUAAUAGGUCGAGGACUUAGC